This 71-nucleotide transfer RNA is filed under the name Camelus bactrianus (Bactrian camel). It matches the Rfam family "tRNA". From Rfam's summary of the family: Transfer RNA (tRNA) molecules are approximately 80 nucleotides in length. The record is from Rfam by way of RNAcentral. Lineage: Eukaryota; Metazoa; Chordata; Mammalia; Artiodactyla; Camelidae. RNAcentral also lists the same sequence under 1 other name.
AGAGUAUAGCUCAGUGGUAGAGUGCAUGCCUAGCAUGCAUGAGGUCCUGGGUUCAAUUCCCAGUACCUCUA